AUUGAACGCUGGCGGAAUGCUUUACACAUGCAAGUCGAACGGUAGAGGGGGCAACCCCUCGAGAGUGGCGAACGGGUGAGUAAUAUAUCGGAACGUGCCCAGUCGUGGGGGAUAACGUAGCGAAAGUUACGCUAAUACCGCAUACGAUCUAAGGAUGAAAGCGGGGGAUCGCAAGACCUCGCGCGAUUGGAGCGGCCGAUAUCAGAUUAGGUAGUUGGUGGGGUAAAGGCUCACCAAGCCAACGAUCUGUAGCUGGUCUGAGAGGACGACCAGCCACACUGGAACUGAGACACGGUCCAGACUCCUACGGGAGGCAGCAGUGGGGAAUUUUGGACAAUGGACGCAAGUCUGAUCCAGCCAUUCCGCGUGCAGGAUGAAGGCCCUCGGGUUGUAAACUGCUUUUGUACGGAACGAAAAGGUCUCUCUUAAUACGGGGGGCUCAUGACGGUACCGUAAGAAUAAGCACCGGCUAACUACGUGCCAGCCGCCGCGGUAA
This 496-nucleotide ribosomal RNA is filed under the name uncultured bacterium. RNAcentral's name for it is "partial 16S ribosomal RNA". It matches the Rfam family "Bacterial small subunit ribosomal RNA", at positions 30 to 523 of the family's 1533-position model. The record is from RNAcentral.